RNAcentral lists this ribosomal RNA (253 nucleotides) under uncultured bacterium. RNAcentral describes it as "partial 16S ribosomal RNA". It matches the Rfam family "Bacterial small subunit ribosomal RNA", at positions 524 to 776 of the family's 1533-position model. The record is from RNAcentral.
UACGUAGGAUCCAAGCGUUGUCCGGAUUUACUGGGUGUAAAGGGUGCGCAGGCGGACUUGUUAGUCAGAGGUGAAAUCUCACUGCUCAACAGUGAAACUGCCUUUGAUACUGCAGGUCUUGAAUCCAGAAGAGAGUUGUGGAAUUCCGAGUGUAGCAGUGAAAUGUGUAGAUAUUCGGAAGAACACCAGCGGCGAAGGCAGCAACUUGGUCUGGUAUUGACGCUCAGGCACGAAAGCGUGGGGAGCAAACAGG